GCGACUUCGGCUGCCUCAUGGGGAACCUGAUGCGAUGCCGGUUGCGUUGCUCUCGGAUAAACCCGGGGACCCUGGGCUACUGCCAGGGCGGCCGCUGCAUGUGCGAGACGGGCAUUCCUGUGCCAGGCCCAGCGGGUAUUAUGCGGCCCAGAUUAGUGCCACAAGCCGGGCCUAUUGGACCAGCGUUCGGUCUUCCGGUCGUGGCCUCGCGUGCAUGAUGGGCAACCCGUUCUUGUGCCGGCAACGCUGCUUCAUGCUGUACCCCGGCAGCACAGGCUUCUGCAUGGGCUUCCUGUGUCGAUGCAUUGGCGGCCCCUUUGGAGCCCUAGGACCAUUGGGAAUGAUGGGCAACCCGCUCCUCUUAGGGUGAUGAACGAGGCCGCCGUUCUAUGCUGCAGCAUAAGCACGGGUGCGGUGCCGUGGUGCACCCUGUCCAAUAAAAUGGGCCCGUUCGGCGUCGUUUCUGUUA
Molecule: long non-coding RNA, 469 nt
Organism: Dermacentor andersoni
Lineage: Eukaryota; Metazoa; Arthropoda; Arachnida; Ixodida; Ixodidae
Source: RefSeq, a predicted model, not a curated record